GGGCCGAUAGCUCAGUGGUAGAGCAUUCGACUUUUAAUCGAAUGGUCCUGGGUUCGAAUCCCAGUCGGCCUACCA
This 75-nucleotide transfer RNA is filed under the name Caulobacter mirabilis. RNAcentral's name for it is "tRNA-Lys". It matches the Rfam family "tRNA". From Rfam's summary of the family: Transfer RNA (tRNA) molecules are approximately 80 nucleotides in length. Lineage: Bacteria; Pseudomonadati; Pseudomonadota; Alphaproteobacteria; Caulobacterales; Caulobacteraceae. RNAcentral also lists the same sequence under 3 other names. The record is from RNAcentral.